GGGUUGUGAGGUUAAGCGACUAAGCGUACACGGUGGAUGCCCUGGCAGUCAGAGGCGAUGAAGGGCGUACUAAUCUGCGAUAAGCGCCGGUAAGGUGAUAUGAACCGUUAUAACCGGCGAUACCCGAAUGGGGAAACCCAGUGUGAUUCGUCACACUAUCAUUAACUGAAUCCAUAGGUUAAUGAGGCGAACCGGGGGAACUGAAACAUCUAAGUACCCCGAGGAAAAGAAAUCAACCGAGAUUCCCCCAGUAGCGGCGAGCGAACGGGGAGGAGCCCAGAGCCUGAAUCAGCAUGUGUGUUAGUGGAAGCGUCUGGAAAGGCGCGCGAUACAGGGUGACAGCCCCGUACACAAAAGCGCAUGUGCUGUGAGCUCGAUGAGUAGGGCGGGACACGUGGUAUCCUGUCUGAAUAUGGGGGGACCAUCCUCCAAGGCUAAAUACUCCUGACUGACCGAUAGUGAACCAGUACCGUGAGGGAAAGGCGAAAAGAACCCCGGCGAGGGGAGUGAAAAAGAACCUGAAACCGUGUACGUACAAGCAGUGGGAGCACNNNNNNNNNNNNNNNNNUGCGUACCUUUUGUAUAAUGGGUCAGCGACUUAUAUUCUGUAGCAAGGUUAACCGAAUAGGGGAGCCGGAGGGAAACCGAGUCUUAAUUGGGCGUUAAGUUGCAGGGUAUAGACCCGAAACCCGGUGAUCUAGCCAUGGGCAGGUUGAAGGUUGGGUAACACUAACUGGAGGACCGAACCGACUAAUGUUGAAAAAUUAGCGGAUGACCUGUGGCUGGGGGUGAAAGGCCAAUCAAACCGGGAGAUAGCUGGUUCUCCCCGAAAGCUAUUUAGGUAGCGCCUCGUGAAUUCAUCUCCGGGGGUAGAGCACUGUUUCGGCUAGGGGGCCAUCCCGGCUUACCAACCCGAUGCAAACUGCGAAUACCGGAGAAUGUUAUCACGGGAGACACACGGCGGGUGCUAACGUCCGUCGUGAAGAGGGAAACAACCCAGACCGCCAGCUAAGGUCCCAAAGUCAUGGUUAAGUGGGAAACGAUGUGGGAAGGCCCAGACAGCCAGGAUGUUGGCUUAGAAGCAGCCAUCAUUUAAAGAAAGCGUAAUAGCUCACUGGUCGAGUCGGCCUGCGCGGAAGAUGUAACGGGGCUAAACCAUGCACCGAAGCUGCGGCAGCGACACUGUGUGUUGUUGGGUAGGGGAGCGUUCUGUAAGCCUGCGAAGGUGGCCUGUGAGGGUUGCUGGAGGUAUCAGAAGUGCGAAUGCUGACAUAAGUAACGAUAAAGCGGGUGAAAAGCCCGCUCGCCGGAAGACCAAGGGUUCCUGUCCAACGUUAAUCGGGGCAGGGUGAGUCGACCCCUAAGGCGAGGCCGAAAGGCGUAGUCGAUGGGAAACGGGUUAAUAUUCCCGUACUUGGUGUUACUGCGAAGGGGGGACGGAGAAGGCUAUGUUGGCCGGGCGACGGUUGUCCCGGUUUAAGCGUGUAGGUGUGUGUUCCAGGUAAAUCCGGUUCACUUUAACACUGAGGCGUGACGACGAGGCACUACGGUGCUGAAGCAACAAAUGCCCUGCUUCCAGGAAAAGCCUCUAAGCAUCAGGUAACAUCAAAUCGUACCCCAAACCGACACAGGUGGUCAGGUAGAGAAUACCAAGGCGCUUGAGAGAACUCGGGUGAAGGAACUAGGCAAAAUGGUGCCGUAACUUCGGGAGAAGGCACGCUGACACGUAGGUGAAGUGAUUUACUCAUGGAGCUGAAGUCAGUCGAAGAUACCAGCUGGCUGCAACUGUUUAUUAAAAACACAGCACUGUGCAAACACGAAAGUGGACGUAUACGGUGUGACGCCUGCCCGGUGCCGGAAGGUUAAUUGAUGGGGUCAGCGCAAGCGAAGCUCCUGAUCGAAGCCCCGGUAAACGGCGGCCGUAACUAUAACGGUCCUAAGGUAGCGAAAUUCCUUGUCGGGUAAGUUCCGACCUGCACGAAUGGCGUAAUGAUGGCCAGGCUGUCUCCACCCGAGACUCAGUGAAAUUGAACUCGCUGUGAAGAUGCAGUGUACCCGCGGCAAGACGGAAAGACCCCGUGAACCUUUACUAUAGCUUGACACUGAACAUUGAGCCUUGAUGUGUAGGAUAGGUGGGAGGCUUUGAAGUGUGGACGCCAGUCUGCAUGGAGCCGACCUUGAAAUACCACCCUUUAAUGUUUGAUGUUCUAACGUGGACCCGUUACCCGGGUUGCGGACAGUGUCUGGUGGGUAGUUUGACUGGGGCGGUCUCCUCCUAAAGAGUAACGGAGGAGCACGAAGGUUGGCUAAUCCUGGUCGGACAUCAGGAGGUUAGUGCAAUGGCAUAAGCCAGCUUGACUGCGAGCGUGACGGCGCGAGCAGGUGCGAAAGCAGGUCAUAGUGAUCCGGUGGUUCUGAAUGGAAGGGCCAUCGCUCAACGGAUAAAAGGUACUCCGGGGAUAACAGGCUGAUACCGCCCAAGAGUUCAUAUCGACGGCGGUGUUUGGCACCUCGAUGUCGGCUCAUCACAUCCUGGGGCUGAAGUAGGUCCCAAGGGUAUGGCUGUUCGCCAUUUAAAGUGGUACGCGAGCUGGGUUUAGAACGUCGUGAGACAGUUCGGUCCCUAUCUGCCGUGGGCGCUGGAGAACUGAGGGGGGCUGCUCCUAGUACGAGAGGACCGGAGUGGACGCAUCACUGGUGUUCGGGUUGUCAUGCCAAUGGCACUGCCCGGUAGCUAAAUGCGGAAGAGAUAAGUGCUGAAAGCAUCUAAGCACGAAACUUGCCCCGAGAUGAGUUCUCCCUGAGACUUAAAGUCUCCUGAAGGAACGUUGAAGACGACGACGUUGAUAGGCCGGGUGUGUAAGCGCAGCGAUGCGUUGAGCUAACCGGUACUAAUGAACCGUGAGGCUUAACCUUACAACGCCGAAG
RNAcentral lists this ribosomal RNA (2928 nucleotides) under Salmonella enterica subsp. enterica serovar Enteritidis str. SA20093950. RNAcentral's name for it is "bacterial LSU rRNA". It matches the Rfam family "Bacterial large subunit ribosomal RNA". Lineage: Bacteria; Pseudomonadati; Pseudomonadota; Gammaproteobacteria; Enterobacterales; Enterobacteriaceae. The record is from RNAcentral.